This 253-nucleotide unclassified non-coding RNA is filed under the name uncultured Gammaproteobacteria bacterium. RNAcentral's name for it is "contains 16S-23S intergenic spacer region". It matches the Rfam family "Bacterial small subunit ribosomal RNA", at positions 524 to 776 of the family's 1533-position model. The record is from RNAcentral. Lineage: Bacteria; Pseudomonadati; Pseudomonadota; Gammaproteobacteria.
UACAGAGGGUGCGAGCGUUAAUCGGAAUUACUGGGCGUAAAGCGUGCGCAGGCGGUUGUGCAAGACAGGUGUGAAAUCCCCGGGCUUAACCUGGGAACUGCACUUGUGACUGCACGGCUUGAGUGCGGCAGAGGGGGAUGGAAUUCCGCGUGUAGCAGUGAAAUGCGUAGAUAUGCGGAGGAACACUGAUGGCGAAGGCAAUCCCCUGGGCCUGCACUGACGCUCAUGCACGAAAGCGUGGGGAGCAAACAGG